GAAUGUUUGAGGGCGAUCUGGAUGUGACAUCUGUCACCUCAUUGACAGGCUUGAUUUCUGUGGAUCUUGCUGACUAGGUGGGGUCCCCUUCCUCCCUCACUGCUCCAUGUGUGUCCCUCUCAAAGCUUUAUAUUCAGUUGAAGUGGACAACCUUCCCUGAUACAGGAAGACUGUUCUUUGGUGAGGGGUAUAGGAGUAGCUGCGCUUCCCUGCUAGAACCUCCAAACAAGCUCUCAAGGUCCAUUUGUAGAACAAAGGAUAGUCAAGCUUCCAAGGCUCCAGACACAUCCAAUGGGGCACUGCAUGUGGCAACCUGCCUUUCUU
RNAcentral lists this small nuclear RNA (324 nucleotides) under Felis catus (domestic cat). RNAcentral's name for it is "7SK RNA". It matches the Rfam family "7SK RNA". Rfam says of the family: 7SK was discovered as an abundant small nuclear RNA in the mid-70s but a possible function has only recently been suggested. Two independent studies have found that 7SK RNA binds the CDK9/cyclin T complex (known as elongation factor P-TEFb). Lineage: Eukaryota; Metazoa; Chordata; Mammalia; Carnivora; Felidae. The record is from Rfam by way of RNAcentral.